This 254-nucleotide ribosomal RNA is filed under the name uncultured bacterium. Its description in RNAcentral is "partial 16S ribosomal RNA". It matches the Rfam family "Bacterial small subunit ribosomal RNA", at positions 524 to 776 of the family's 1533-position model. The record is from RNAcentral.
UACGUAGGGUGCUAGCGUUGUCCGGAUUUAUUGGGCGUAAAGGGCUCGUAGGCGACGUGUCGCGUCGGGAGUGAAAGCCCGCUGCUUAACGGCGGGUUGGCUUCCGGUACGGGCAUCGCUGGAGUGCGGCAGGGGAGACUGGAAUUCCUGGUGUAGCGGUGGAAUGCGCAGAUAUCAGGAGGAACACCGGUGGCGAAGGCGGGUCUCUGGGCCGUUACUGACGCUGAGGAGCGAAAGCGUGGGGAGCGAACAGG